Molecule: non-coding RNA, 73 nt
Organism: Erythranthe guttata (spotted monkey flower)
Lineage: Eukaryota; Viridiplantae; Streptophyta; Magnoliopsida; Lamiales; Phrymaceae
Source: Rfam
GGGGAUGUAGCUCAAUUGGUAGAGCGCUCGCUUUGCAUGCGAGAGGUACGGGGAUCGAAACCCUGCAUCUCCA